Molecule: non-coding RNA, 416 nt
Organism: Sinocyclocheilus grahami
Lineage: Eukaryota; Metazoa; Chordata; Actinopteri; Cypriniformes; Cyprinidae
Source: the annotation of a RefSeq genome assembly
ACACAAUCUUCAUCAUCACACAAGACACAACAACAACAAUGAACAACAUCAUCUUCAUCUGGACACUGUGUAUAUGUGUACAAGGUUUCAGUGGGCAGGUGACUGUGACUCAGACUCCCUCUGUUAAAACAGUUCAGAUCGGUGAAUCAGUCACUAUAAACUGUAAAACAAACAAAGAAGUGACAGAUGCCUGUCCAGGUUCAUAUACUUGUAUGGCCUGGUACCAGCAGAAACCUGGAGAAGCUCCUAAACUCCUCAUAUAUUAUGCAACACGCCGUAACACUGGAACUCAAUCUAGAUUCAGUGGCAGUGGAUCCAGAACUGAUUUCUCUCUGACCAUCAGUGGAGUCCAGACUGAAGAUACAGGACAUUAUUACUGUCAGAGUUACCACAGUGGUCCAGUGUUCACACAGUGA